Molecule: ribosomal RNA, 253 nt
Filed under: uncultured bacterium
Lineage: Bacteria
Description: partial 16S ribosomal RNA
Rfam family: Bacterial small subunit ribosomal RNA
Source: RNAcentral
UACGAAGGGGGCUAGCGUUGUUCGGAAUCACUGGGCGUAAAGGGUGCGUAGGCGGGUGGGUGCGUUAGAUGUGAAAUCCCCGGGCUUAACCUGGGAACUGCAUUUAAUACGGCACAUCUAGAGUGCGAGAGGGGAAAGCGGAAUGGCGAGUGGAGCAGUGAAAUGCAUUGAGAUUCGCUAGAACACCAGAGGCGAAGGCGGCUUUCUGGCUCGCUACUGACACUAAGGCACGAAAGCGUGGGGAGCAAACAGG